CAACUCACUGUCCGUCUUCCCGGAAAAAGGAGCGAACAUUUCUCGACUGGAACAAAAUCAACAGAGCAGCAGAAGAAAUCGCGCUAUCGUGGAAGAACGAUAUCUCGAUUCCCUCAACGGGUUUCAGCGCUCUGCUCUCCGUCGUCAGUCUACUGCUGGUUGGUUACAGUGAGUGAAGAUUUCGGGUUGGAAUACCGCAAACAAUGGCGUCGGUGCCCUCCAAGAACAUGUGGAUACGGCGACAGCAUUGCCCCUGCGGAGAUUGGAAGUGUUGCAUCGCGGUCGAAGGUGAGAGUGAAGAGACCCCUUUAGCUCCCCACAUGGUAAAAACGAAAUCUUUCUCGCCCGACUCUAUGGUUGCCCCUUACGUGGGAAUGCUCUUCAAGAGCGACGAUGACGCGUUCGAGUACUACGCGAGUUUUGCGAGGAAAAACGGGUUCUCGAUCAGGAAGGAGCGGUCUAGGCUUAGUCCCCAGUUGGGCAUCUACAAGCGUGACUUCGUUUGUUACAGGGCGGGUUUUGCCCCAGCGAGGAAGAAGCCCACUGGGGAGCACCACCGGGACAGGAAAUCGGUCCGAUGUGGAUGCGAUGCUAAAAUGUACUUGUCGAAGGAGGUCGUUGAAGGGGUUUCUCAGUGGUGUGUUGUUCAGUUCAGUAAUGUCCAUAAUCACGAGUUGUUGGAAGACGAUCAAGUCUGUCUCUUGCCUGCGUAUAGAAAGAUUCACGAGGUCGAUCAGGAGAGGAUACUGUUGUUAUCCAAGGCCGGGUUCCCGAUUCACCGCAUAGUGAAGGUAUUGGAAUUGGAGAAGGGGUAUCAGGGCGGACAACUUCCUUUCCUUGAGAGGGAUGUUAGGAAUUUCAUUCAGAACCGUAAGAAGGUCAUUCAAGAGAACGAUACAAUGCUGAAUGAGAAGAGAGAAAGCGAUAUCGUUGAGCUUCUUGACGCAUGCAGGGCAUCUAAGGAGGCAGACGAAGGAUUCAGUUUUGAUUAUACUGUGGACGGAAACAAUAAGGUAGAGAAUGUCGCUUGGUCUUAUAGUGAUGCAACCAAUGCGUUUUCAGUAUUCGGUGACGUGGUCUACUUUGACACCUCCUAUCGGUCGAUCACUUAUGGAAUGUUGUUCGGGGCAUGGCUUGGAAUCGAUAACUUUGGGAAAACCAUCUUCUUUGGAUGUGGUCUGUUACAGGAUGAAACACAGCAGUCCUACUCGUGGGCUUUACAGACUUUCGUACGGUUCAUGAAUGGAAGAUUUCCUCAAACAAUUGUGACGGAUCUAGAUGUCAGCCUCAAAGAUGCUGUAAGAAGCGGUUUGCCAAGCACUAAACACGUGAUUUCUGUGUCUAGCAUCUUACCCAAGCUAUCAAGCUGGUUCUCUGUUCCUCUCGGCUCACAGUAUGAGGAAUUCCGAUCAGAAUUUGAUUCUAUAAAUUGCAUCGAGACUGCAGAGGAUUUCGAUUUUCAGUGGAACCAGAUGGUUUCUCGGUUCAGCCUUGGAUCGGACAAACAUAUUGCUCUACUUCAUUCUGUGAGGGUUUCUUGGGCUCCCUCGCAUACGAGGGGUUACUUGCUCGCUCGAAUUACAAGCCCAGUGUUCUUAAAGUCAGUGGAUACUUUCCUAAAAGGAAUCUUUGGUGCACAAACAUGUCUGAGGAGCUUUUUUGACCAGGUCGGUGUCUCAGCUAAUUUUCAAAACCAGUCACACAAUGUGAUGCAGUAUUUGCAUUCAAGAACAUGUCUACCAAUUGAAGAUCAUGCUCGUACAGUUCUUACUCCGUUCGCUUUCAAUGCUUUGCAGCAUGAGUUAGUGUUCUCCAUGCAAUAUGCCUUGUCUGAUAUGGCCAACGGGUCAUACCUUCUACGCCAUUAUAAGAAGAUGGACAGUGAGCGUCUUGUUGUGUGGGUACCAGAAGAAGAACAGCUCUGCUGUCCCUGUAAAGAAUUUGAAUCUUCAGGAAUCUUGUGCAGGCAUGCACUUCGAGUUUUCAUAGUGAAGAAUUAUUUUCAGCUGCCUGAUAAGUACUUUCUCAGCAGAUGGAGGAAGGAGAGCUCUCUUAUGUUUUAUGAUGAUCAGCCUGCUCAGCAUAAUGACGAUGAGUGGUUUGGAGAGUAUCAGUCUCUCACAGAAACUCUCUUUGCUGAGUCAUCAAUUACGAGGGAGCGCUCUGAUUAUGUCCGUGGAGAGUUAAUGAAAGAACUCCAGAGGCUUCUCAAUGAAGUGAGGCAUAUGCCUGAUAGUGACGGUAUAGCAGUGGAACUGAGUCUAUCUCCCACUGGUUGAUAUUGUCUACGGGAUCUAGUCCUUCAAGGUGAAAAACUAGAAAGAUGAUAUCAAAUGCCAGGAAUGUGGUUAAGGCCUGAAGAGUCUAAGAGUUCUUCUAAUGUGUGGCUUCCAAGUGGGAUAGUCUGUGAAAGAUGGUGGACUCUGUUGAUUUAAACCUAAAGAUAAAACUGCUACAAGAUGAGAAAUGAAGAUGAGCUGAGGAGAGGAGAUAGAAGACUUGUUUCUUGGACUGGACUAGUUGCCAUUCAACAAUAUGUUUACUGGCACACUGCCUCAUUCUGUGUCUAAUAGCAGAAGAAAGUGAAUUGGAAAUCACAAAAUUUGGGAAAUAUCCAUGUUGGGGUUAUAAGAUCAGCAGAGUCAAAGACCCCCUUCACAGUGCCCUCCCUUAUGGGAACCUUCUAAAGAAACCCUUCUUGGAGGCUUAUCUGAGCUAUGAAAUAUGGAUCUUAUGGUGAAAGUAAUCUGGAUCAGAACUGAAAUAGUCAGACCGAGGCUGAAGCACGGAUGAACUGGAGAGUUGCAAGUGGUAUUCCUCUACAAUCCACAUUUCUGAACAGUAAGGCCAGGGCUCAAAUCAGAUUUGAUGGAUUCUGCUGUAAAUUGGAUCUUCAUGAGGCCAUGUUCACAUGCCUCCCUCGGAUAGCUCUGAAGAAGCGCCAGAGUUGUACUCACGUGUACAUAUAUUCUUCAAUUAUUGAGAUGCCUCCACUGCAACAGUAACAUCUUGAUUUAGAGCUCAAAUAUCUGUUCAUGGGACAGCAUGCAUCUGCAGGUGAAGUUGUGCCAAUCAUUCAUUUCAUUCCGUCAAAUCUGAAAAUCGUUUGCCCAGAAGGGAAAAGGGGCCCAACCCCAUCUGAGGAGUUGCAUUUUGCCCCCAUGAUAUUUUUCUUCAGCAGCAGAAGUGAUGGAAGAACUGGUGAAAAAGUAGAAUUCCUCGGAGCCACAUCAUAAGUGUGCGACUCUCAUGGAGCUGUCGGUUUUCAUGCAACAGUAAUAGACUCAAUCCCUUGUCGUCCCUUAGUCCUUUGUCUGCAGCUCUCCUCAACCAUCAUCCCUUCCAUUGGAACUCAGCUCUGUGAAUGAAAUACACUCAUCUGUGGUAAAUAAUACAUGGCCCUUCCUUCCUUCCUUGUCUGUGAGCUCUCGGGGCUUUUGUGCCUUGGCUUUACUUUCGAGGGGGAAGCUUACAAGAAUACCGAGUUGUAAUACAUGACUGAUUGUAUGCCCAGAUCAGAAAAUGAACGCGCUAUACGGUCAUGAUUGGCAUUGUAAAAUGGUUUGUUUACGUUAUCAAUUAUUUGAAAGCCGACUUGUUUACGUUCUCAAUUAUUUGAAAGCCGACAUAUACUUGUAUGGAUCGUUUCCUAGUGACGAUGUGGAACAUGAAGGACAGGUACUGAUCGUUUCAAUUAUUUGAAGAUUAGGCCCGAUCCUGGGCUCAUAUUGAAUUA
Punica granatum (pomegranate) is the source of this 3736-nucleotide non-coding RNA. The record is from RefSeq and is a predicted model, not a curated record. Lineage: Eukaryota; Viridiplantae; Streptophyta; Magnoliopsida; Myrtales; Lythraceae.